Molecule: ribosomal RNA, 429 nt
Filed under: Chloroflexota bacterium
Lineage: Bacteria; Bacillati; Chloroflexota
Description: Chloroflexi bacterium partial 16S ribosomal RNA
Rfam family: Bacterial small subunit ribosomal RNA
Source: RNAcentral
UGGGGAAUAUUGCACAAUGGGCGCAAGCCUGAUGCAGCCAUGCCGCGUGUAUGAAGAAGGCCUUCGGGUUGUAAAGUACUUUCAGUCGGGAGGAAGGUGGUAAGGUUAAUAACCUUAUCAAUUGACGUUACCGACAGAAGAAGCACCGGCUAACUCCGUGCCAGCAGCCGCGGUAAUACGGAGGGUGCAAGCGUUAAUCGGAAUUACUGGGCGUAAAGCGCACGCAGGCGGUUGAUUGAGUCAGAUGUGAAAUCCCCGGGCUUAACCCGGGAAAUGCAUCUGAUACUGGUCAGCUAGAGUCUUGUAGAGGGGGGUAGAAUUCCAUGUGUAGCGGUGAAAUGCGUAGAGAUGUGGAGGAAUACCUGUGGCGAAGGCGGCCCCCUGGACAAAGACUGACGCUCAGGUGCGAAAGCGUGGGGAGCAAACAGG